This is a long non-coding RNA of Oreochromis aureus, 1253 nucleotides long. Lineage: Eukaryota; Metazoa; Chordata; Actinopteri; Cichliformes; Cichlidae. The record is from Ensembl.
AGUCAGGAAUAGUUUAAAUUAGGAUUGAAAAAAUUAAACUAGGUGAAAAGGGGGUGUAGCAAGUAGAUUUAGGGCAGCUCACAGCCUGGCGUAAAUGCAAGGUGCUGUCACACAGCUUAAGUUAUUUGUUUGAUUUAUUUUUAUGACAAAAUAAUAAGGAAACAUUGAAAACAUACAACCCGUUGAGGAGACAGAUAGGGUUGGGGAAUUGAAAGGUUUUGUUUGUUUAGCAUAAUUUCUUUUGUUAUAUUUUAGCUUUAACAGGGAACAUGCCUCUCUGGAGCUUCUCUCCUGAUGCUACCCUGCCAAAGACCCUUAUCCAUAGAGACUAUGUCAGCUCCCAAACAGACAGCAACAAACCAAAUCUAGCAAUAAACAACUUAAACAUCAAUAGUAACAAAGCAAGAACAAUACAGAAUCCACAUCUGAACCGAAGAAUAAAACAGUGAAAUGUGGAUUAUUAAAUAUUAGGUCUCUCACCCCCGGAAGAUGAUUGAAUAAAGAAAGACAGGUACUUAUGUAUGUCAGCAUAAGGUUGAGCCCAACAGAAGCAAGGCACCCUACAUGCACACAGCAUGCAGCAGGGGUUGCCAAAAUAAUAUAGAAAGCAGCACAUGUAGUGAGAGAACACCCACUAAAAGUUCUGACUACACAUAGUGUGGUGGCAUAUGUGAACUCGCAGGCGUUCACUAUGACAUCAUUAGCACAACAGAGACUGAGUAAAGUUUUAGAUGCUCCAAAUCUGACACUUACACAUGAAGGAAUCAAUAUGGCAGAUUUAAUGGGAUCAGGAGAACCUCAUGAUUGUACUAAGAAAGCAGAAGUUGAAGGGAAAGUCAGGGAAGAUUUAAAAGCAGAACCUAUCCCUGGAGCUGAGGAUUGGUUCAUAGAUGGCUGCUGUCAUCGUGAUGAAGAAGGAUCGAAAGCAGGCUAUGCUAUAGUCUGCAAACAAGGAACUGAAUUUGAGCCCACGAGGAACUCCAGCAGUGGAAGGAGCCACGCUGGAUGGGUCCUUACGAGGUCAUUGCCAGAACAACUACAGCAGUUCAACUAAAAGGGAAAGGCGAUACCUGGUAUCAUUGGUUGCAGUGUGCGCCAGCACAUGAGAGUUUGGUAGAGGAAAACUCCUCUACACCCAACACAGGUGGUAACGAGCAGAGGCAAAAUAAAUCCUCUCACCUGUGCAACGGGCCAACCAGUAGUCCACCUGGGAGGCCGAAGAAAGAAGAGCAGCAGCUGAGAAGGUCGCCACG